CCCCUGGUGGUCUGGUAGCUAGGAUUCCUGGUUUUCAUCCAGGAGCCCAAGUUCAAUUCCUGUCAGGGAA
Molecule: transfer RNA, 70 nt
Filed under: Bos taurus (domestic cattle)
Lineage: Eukaryota; Metazoa; Chordata; Mammalia; Artiodactyla; Bovidae
Also listed under: 5 other names
Rfam family: tRNA
About the family: Transfer RNA (tRNA) molecules are approximately 80 nucleotides in length. Their secondary structure includes four short double-helical elements and three loops (D, anti-codon, and T loops).
Source: Rfam by way of RNAcentral